UGUUGUAUAUUUAGUUAUUUGUAAAAUAACUUCAUGAUAAAUUUUUUUAUGCCUUCUUCUUCUGUCGAGGACACAUGGAUUCCUAGCAACUUUGUUGAGGUCGUAUAUAAAAUUUUUGGAUACGCUUGCAGCAAAUAAUCUUCAGCUGUUGUAAUUAUAUGGGAACUUUGGACAUUAAUCGAUAGGCCAGAGUCUUUUUUGAAGUCAUCCAGUUUCUCAAGGAGUUCGCAAAUCAACUUUUUCAGUGCGGUAGAGUCACCUGAUAAAAAUACUGUAACGUCAUCGGCGUAUAGCAUGCAUUUUAUGUUUAAAUCUUGUUGAGGUUUUGUAAAAAUAAAUAUGGGGGUAUUGCGUUAUAAUUGACCUUGGAUGCUAAAAUUAAUAAACAAGAGAGAAAGAGGAAUGAAGAAGAAUAUAUACAAAGAAUUUAAUAGCCACUAAUUCUCAUAAGAAAUUAUAAAUACAUUUUUAAUUAAUAAAUUCUUAUUGGAUUUAUCAAA
Molecule: long non-coding RNA, 500 nt
Filed under: Lepeophtheirus salmonis (salmon louse)
Lineage: Eukaryota; Metazoa; Arthropoda; Copepoda; Siphonostomatoida; Caligidae
Description: uncharacterized LOC121129211
Source: RNAcentral